UACGUAGGGUGCGAGCGUUGUCCGGAAUUAUUGGGCGUAAAGAGCUUGUAGGCGGUUUGUCGCGUCUGCCGUGAAAAUUCGAGGCUCAACCUCGAACUUGCGGUGGGUACGGGCAGACUAGAGUGUGGUAGGGGAGACUGGAAUUCCUGGUGUAGCGGUGAAAUGCGCAGAUAUCAGGAGGAACACCAACAGCGAAGGCAGAUCUCUGGGACGUUACUGACGCUGAGACGCGAAAGCGUGGGGAGCAAACAGG
This 253-nucleotide ribosomal RNA is filed under the name uncultured bacterium. RNAcentral's name for it is "partial 16S ribosomal RNA". It matches the Rfam family "Bacterial small subunit ribosomal RNA", at positions 524 to 776 of the family's 1533-position model. The record is from RNAcentral.